Molecule: long non-coding RNA, 1940 nt
Organism: Ictalurus punctatus (channel catfish)
Lineage: Eukaryota; Metazoa; Chordata; Actinopteri; Siluriformes; Ictaluridae
Source: Ensembl
UUUUGACGUCACUUCAUCAGGAAGUAAACAACAAUGGCUGUACGUUGUACUAAUAAGUUGCACUACUCGUUUUUAUUCGUAUUUGUAUUGGUGUGUGUUUUGUUUGGAAAGUCGGCCAGCUCUUUGACUUCAGAUAAACCUGGACAUGGUGAAUUCAAACAUUUCCGAAGUUUUCGAAGUGUUUCAGAGCCUACAGCUCCACCACCAGGGGUCAGGCUGCACCCCGGUGUCGUCGCCUCCGUCGUAAUCGUCGCAACUGCUGCAAUAGUGGCUGCAUUUUUUAUUAUUAGGAAAUACUGUUUCCCGCAGAGUGAUGCCACAUACAGAUACUCUGUGCUGAGGCGGAUGGAGGAGCAGAGAGAGGAAGAAUCUGAUGAGUGCAGUGGAAGAGCAAGCGUGACGUGUAGAGCGCGUGAGAGCAGUUUGGCGUCUUCUCAAAGUUUUCUGCGACAUUGUCUUUUUGCUUUUGUUUCAUUUAAUUAUUGAAUGUUUAAGUUAUGUAAGUAGCAGUAGCCGGUAAAAGUUGAGAGCGGGUGGGAGUGAGCGGGCGUCCCGCUCUCUGAGGCCGGAGGGGAGACGCUGUCUCUCCGCCAUGGCGUCAGGUGUGUGCCGGAGGAUGGAGAACAGGUGGAGGAGGUUCUGCUAGCGGUGGGAGAGCAGGUCCGGUGGGAGAGCAGGUCGGGUGCGAGAACAUCUACACUGCCUAUUCUGGAUGAACAACGCAGUGGAGGUUUUUCCUAAAAAAAAAUUUUUUUUUAAAGUACAAAUUUGUCAAUACGCUGUCUGAAAAAGGAAUAUGGCUAAAGGGUGUCAUGAUGCACAUUACCCCUCUAUCUGCCCCUGCAACGCGGGUCGUCAUUUCCAACGUGCCCCCAUUCAUAAAAAACGAGUUGGCCCACUUCGGAAAGUUCACCCCCCAUGACUGCUAUUCAGCUCGGCUGUAAGAACUCUGCAGUGAAACACGUCCUGUCUUUUCGCAGACAAGUUUACAUGUUUAUAAACAACCAAAUACUGAAUGUAAAUUUCAAGUGCAAAGACGGGGACAGCAGCUACACCGCCUUGGCCACCACCACCGCCUGAGAUGUUUUGCGUGUGAGGGGUAUAAACGGUAGAGCUGUGCAGCCAGGGAACUCCGGGGGCGACACAGCCGGGGUACAGCAGCAACAGUGCGGAGACAGCCAGCACGAGAACACCGGAGAACAGGAGCCUGGGGCAGAUGAGGGCAAUGACACACCGGAGCCAGAGCUGACAGAGGUCAGUAAAGAACAAAACAAAAACAGCACAGUACCCAGUGAUGACUCCCUUGCCGAUGCUAACACUGAAACGAACACCUAAGAUAGCAUUUAUUGCAAACCCCGUACCGCUAUCGGCAUCAGAGCCAGCAGUGACCCCGGGCCUCAUGUCCACACUGAGGAUGAUCCUGACUCGGAACAGCAGAAGAACCCACAGGCACUGAGCAACACUAAGGAGAAAAAUAAAGCUGAGCUGGAAAGACCAGGAGAGAAGAUGGACAAGGUGGUGGAAUCAUCCAAACAGCCACAGCACAGUGUUGUGAUGCAGGAGAACUUGUGCCCAGAGUGCAGCGCAGGAGCUACAGGAGAGGAACCGCUCACAGACAUGGAGGAGGAAGAGGUCAAUCCAGAUCAGCUAAAUACUUUUAACUUUUCAGAACAGCCUGAACAGCUUUACACCAUGGACCAGAUUAACCAGUUUUUAGAACUGACCAAAGGAAAAUGGAACAUCUCACUGACAGAUUAACUACUUUGUCAAAUCUGCACAACACGUAACAAGAAAUGAAAACCUGAACGUGCUGUCAACACGGAGACGCUUCAGACUGAGGACAUGGACAUCAGUUGCAAAAAAGGCCUUAAUAUAAAAAGGCCUGUUUACUUUCACACAGAUCUAUGACAAUAAUGGAUUUACAGUAAGACUGAAGGGGU